RNAcentral lists this ribosomal RNA (490 nucleotides) under uncultured bacterium. Its description in RNAcentral is "partial 16S ribosomal RNA". It matches the Rfam family "Bacterial small subunit ribosomal RNA", at positions 30 to 507 of the family's 1533-position model. The record is from RNAcentral.
AUUGAACGCUGGCGGCAGGCCUAACACAUGCAAGUCGAACGGUAACAGGAAGCAGCUUGCUGCUUUGCUGACGAGUGGCGGACGGGUGAGUAAUGUCUGGGAAACUGCCCGAUGGAGGGGGAUAACUACUGGAAACGGUAGCUAAUACCGCAUAACGUCGCCAGACCAAAGAGGGGGACCUUAGGGCCUCUUGCCAUCGGAUGUUCCCAGAUGGGAUUAGCUAGUAGGUGGGGUAACGGCUCACCUAGGCGACGAUCCCUAGCUGGUCUGAGAGGAUGACCAGCCACACUGGAACUGAGACACGGUCCAGACUCCGACGGGAGGCAGCAGGGGGGAAUAUUGCAGAAUGGGCGCAAGCCUGAUGCAGCCAUGCCGCGUGUAUGAAGAAGGCCUUCGGGUUGUAAAGUACUUUCAGCGGGGAGGAAGGGAGUAAAGUUAAUACCUGUGCUCAUUGACGUUACCCGCAGAAGAAGCACCGGCUAACUCCGUG